UGGGGAAUAUUGCACAAUGGGGGAAACCCUGAUGCAGCGACGCCGCGUGAGCGAAGAAGGCUUUCGAGUCGUAAAGCUCUGUCCUAUGAGAAGAUAAUGACGGUAUCAUAGGAGGAAGCCCUGGCUAAAUACGUGCCAGCAGCCGCGGUAAUACGUAUGGGGCGAGCGUUGUCCGGAAUUAUUGGGCGUAAAGGGUACGUAGGCGGUUUUUUAAGUCAGGUGUCAAAGCGUGGAGCUUAACUCCAUUAAGCACUUGAAACUGAAAGACUUGAGGGAAGGAGAGGAAAGUGGAAUUCCUAGUGUAGCGGUGAAAUGCGUAGAUAUUAGGAGGAAUACCGGUGGCGAAGGCGACUUUCUGGACGAACACUGACGCUGAGGCGCGAAAGCCAGGGGAGCGAACGGG
Molecule: ribosomal RNA, 403 nt
Filed under: Verrucomicrobiota bacterium
Lineage: Bacteria; Pseudomonadati; Verrucomicrobiota
Description: Verrucomicrobia bacterium partial 16S ribosomal RNA
Rfam family: Bacterial small subunit ribosomal RNA
Source: RNAcentral